RNAcentral lists this ribosomal RNA (497 nucleotides) under uncultured bacterium. Its description in RNAcentral is "partial 16S ribosomal RNA". It matches the Rfam family "Bacterial small subunit ribosomal RNA", at positions 28 to 507 of the family's 1533-position model. The record is from RNAcentral.
GAUGAACGCUGGCGGCGUGCCUAAUACAUGCAAGUCGAGCGAACAGACGAGGAGCUUGCUCCUCUGACGUUAGCGGCGGACGGGUGAGUAACACGUGGAUAACCUACCUAUAAGACUGGGAUAACUUCGGGAAACCGGAGCUAAUACCGGAUAAUAUAUUGAACCGCAUGGUUCAAUAGUGAAAGACGGUUUUGCUGUCACUUAUAGAUGGAUCCGCGCCGCAUUAGCUAGUUGGUAAGGUAACGGCUUACCAAGGCGACGAUGCGUAGCCGACCUGAGAGGGUGUUCGGCCACACUGGAGCUGGGACGCGGUCCAGGCUCCUACGGGAGGCAGCAGUAGGGAAUCUUCCGCAAUGGGCGGAAGCCUGACGGAGCAACGCCGCGUGAGUGAUGAAGGUCUUCGGAUCGUAAAACUCUGUUAUUAGUGAAGAACAAAUGUGUAAGUAACUAUGCACGUCUUGACGGUACCUAGUCAGAAAGCCACGGCUAACUACGUG